RNAcentral lists this ribosomal RNA (856 nucleotides) under uncultured marine bacterium. RNAcentral describes it as "bacterial SSU rRNA". It matches the Rfam family "Bacterial small subunit ribosomal RNA", at positions 8 to 916 of the family's 1533-position model. The record is from RNAcentral.
AGAGUUUGAUCCUGGCUCAGAACGAACGCUGGCGGCAGGCCUAACACAUGCAAGUCGAGCGCGCCUUCGGGUGAGCGGCGGACGGGUUAGUAACGCGUGGGAACGUGCCCUUCUCUACGGAAUAGCCUCUGGAAACGGAGAGUAAUACCGUAUACGCCCUUUGGGGGAAAGAUUUAUCGGAGAAGGAUCGGCCCGCGUUAGAUUAGGUAGUUGGUGGGGUAACGGCCUACCAAGCCUACGAUCUAUAGCUGGUUUUAGAGGAUGAUCAGCAACACUGGGACUGAGACACGGCCCAGACUCCUACGGGAGGCAGCAGUGGGGAAUCUUAGACAAUGGGGGCAACCCUGAUCUAGCCAUGCCGCGUGAGUGAUGAAGGCCUUAGGGUCGUAAAGCUCUUUCGCCUGUGAUGAUAAUGACAGUAGCAGGUAAAGAAACCCCGGCUAACUCCGUGCCAGCAGCCGCGGUAAUACGGAGGGGGUUAGCGUUGUUCGGAAUUACUGGGCGUAAAGCGCGCGUAGGCGGAUUAGAAAGUUGGGGGUGAAAUCCCGGGGCUCAACCCCGGAACUGCCUCCAAAACUGCUAGUCUAGAGUUCGAGAGAGGUGAGUGGAAUUCCGAGUGUAGAGGUGAAAUUCGUAGAUAUUCGGAGGAACACCAGUGGCGAAGGCGGCUCACUGGCUCGAUACUGACGCUGAGGUGCGAAAGUGUGGGGAGCAAACAGGAUUAGAUACCCUGGUAGUCCACACCGUAAACGAUGAAUGCCAGUCGUCGGGUAGUAUACUAUUCGGUGACACACCUAACGGAUUAAGCAUUCCGCCUGGGGAGUACGGUCGCAGAUUAAACUCAAGGAAUUGACGG